GGGUGGGUCCUACCUAGACCAGGCUGAUCCUGGACCAUCCCACAGAUGCUCAAUCAGAUCUGGAUGUGGGGAGUGUGGAACCCAGAUGUUCAGAGGGAGAUGAUACCACAUCUGGUCCAGCUGAUGGAAGGUCUUGAAGUUCUCUGACUGGCCUCGACUGAAGAUGGUCGUCUCACUGGAUUUAAGGUUCAGAUGCUCAGUAACAAACUCCACCAAUGUGCCAACAGGGAAGCUUUAGGUUUAUUAAAUGUUGCUAUGAAGGUUUUGCUGUUUUUCUUUGUGAAUGCAAUGUGCUCCAACUGAAACUUGAAUUAGAACUUAGAAGUAAAUCCUUCCAUCUGAAACGAUUUAGUUGCAUUAAUAACCUCAUAACAUUCUAAUUUUUAUUCCAGUCUUGGUUGGAAAUAGAAUCUCUGUAUUGAUUCAGGUAAAAACUGAACUUCACAGCAUGUUGGAGCAAAACAACCAGAUGAAAACUGUGAUGAUGUUGGAUUGUCAGACUGUAAUGUUGCAGCUCAAAGCAGCUUUUCUAUCUCAGUUCAUUCUGACAUUCAGCUAUGAAUCAACACAGCGGAUGGUGAUCCACGCUGUGGAAGUCUCACAUCUCCUGAUGUAAUGGAACUUCUGCAGAGUCCUGGUUCCAGAACAUGAUGAUAGAAUUAUAGACAAACUUUAACAAAAGCUGUCUGAGAGUUUACAGGUUUUUAUGUUAGAUUUCUUCAGUAUUUUAAUGAGAGUUAUCAGCAAAAAUCAAGGGUUAAUUUGAUGAACUUGAUUUCCUAAAACAUCCAGAAUUGGAGCUCAUAUCUUUGGCAGCUGUAAAGUUUCUGCUCCUUCAAAGUUCACAACACAAUGAAUUAAUUCCUAAAACACUCUCAAUGCUGGAGAGCGUUUGUGAUGCUGAAGCAGUGAUCAGUUUUUCUGUUUCUUCUCUGGAGAUGCACAAUGAGGGACGUCUGCAGAGACUGAGAAAGAGUCUCACCACAUCCUGACAUGAGGAAAAAGACUUUAUUGAAGACUACAAUGAGAAAAACUAUCAGAUAGCAGACGGCUGCAUUCAAGGUGAGCUCUGAACAUUUGAUCUGGAACAGGAAUUCAAUAACGGCAGCAUGAGCUUCAUUUCAGUCUGUAGCUGCUGAAUUCAUGGAUGAAUCAUCUGGCACUAGAGAAGAAGACCAUCAAACAUCCACGUCAGCUGAUGGAGGUCCAAGAGUCUCAUCUAACAACCAACCUACAGAGUGAAGACCUCGAAUCUGAUUGGACGGCCUCCUAUUCAGCCACUUUAGGCUGUUAGAUUGUUCCAGAUAAGACAAGUACAAGAUACUUCAGAGCCGUUCUACCACGAGCCUGACAGGAAGAACUCCAACAGCUACUGAAUGUUCCUGUGGUUCCUUCAAGGCUACAGGAGGAGCCCUAUGAGGACGAGCCGGUCCACCUGAUGGUGGCCAGUCGCUGCGGUUCAAAGCCAACACCGACUACGUGGACUUGUACUGGACCACAUGGAGGCCUUCAAACCGGACCCAACAAGUUCACCGACUCCCCGACUCGUGGGUCUGAGGACGCCGCCGAGCCUCGGUCCAGCCGGCCUCCUGUCUGUGGGUGUUUGAGUGCUGAGAGGGAUUACCACAGACCUGACCGUGAACACCGUUGACACCCACCUGAGGGAGACGCUGCCUGAGAUCUCAAGGCUGCUUGGUCGUGGUCUUUCUGGUCCUGCUCCAGAACGCCUUCAUCAACUACGUCUUCUUCUGAAGAGGCCCUCAGAUGCUGCAAUCUCUAACCUUAAGGAAGAACUGCUAAUUUCACUCUGUAACGAGACGGCGGUUAUUUUAAAGACCCAGCUCCUGGCGGCUUUGAGUGAAAAUAACUGGAGCCUUCAAUUGGCUCCUGCUGGUCAUACUACAACUCUUGGUUUGGUACUAAAUUAAAAAUCUGAAUUUUAAGGAAUUUUUUAGUAAAUAAAAUUCAAUCACUUCACCCUUAAACACUGCAGAAAAAAUAAACUCCAUACCACCAGCAAAAGGGUCCUACUGAUCAUACCUUCAGGUUUUUUCUUCCAAGUAUUGCCCGUACAGUCCUUAACUUGGAAAAUAUUAUUAGCUGUUUAACAUUAUGGUUUAAAUGAAUCAAUUAAUGCUGCAGCCUUGUAAGAAGGCGUCUUAUUGUCUUUCUUCCCAAUGGUCAGUACUUGAGACAGUCUAGUGUAGUUUGGUAUACUGGUGUUAUCUGAUCCUCUCUUUGGUGAGGAUUCCAAGUUCCAUUACUAUUCAGUAUCAUGUAUUUGGACAAACAGUUGCACUGUGGAUCUAAAAAUAUAGUACCACAUACAUCAAAAGAAGAGCCAUCAAAGCUAAUUUACUCAUAAUCCUUAAACUUCACACACAUGCAUGCACACUAAAUAGUGUGCACAACUUCAUAUGGCAACAUACAACCCAAAUAAAAUAAAAUUCAGUUGCUUUCGGUUAUUAAUGUACCACAAUCUACCAAAAAAAUGGAUGAGCACUUUUAUCUGUUAGAACAAAAAAUAUUUGAGAUAUAUAACAACAAUUUCAAUACUAAUAAAAAAAAUCCUUAAAAUCAUAAAAAGAUAAAUAUCAAAUCAAGAGUUGUAGUAUGAUUUUGGUGGCACUACAGUGUAUAAGAGUGAAGUUAUUGAAUUUUAUUACUAAUAAAAUAAUAAAUGAAAAUUUCUGAAAAUUCAGAUUUUGUGUUUAAUGUCAAACUAAGAGUUGUAGUAUGAUCAACAGGAGCCAAUUGAUGGCUCCAGUGAUUUUGGUGACACUACAGUACAUAAGAGUGAAGUGAAGUUAUUGAAUUUUCUUACUAAUAAAAUAAUAAGAAAAUAUUUUUUAAAAAUUGCUUAAAAUUAU
Amphiprion ocellaris (clown anemonefish) is the source of this 2870-nucleotide long non-coding RNA. NCBI's taxonomy places the organism in Eukaryota, Metazoa, Chordata, Actinopteri, Pomacentridae. The record is from Ensembl.